RNAcentral lists this unclassified non-coding RNA (351 nucleotides) under soil metagenome. RNAcentral describes it as "partial contains 5.8S ribosomal RNA, internal transcribed spacer 2, and large subunit ribosomal RNA". The stretch from base 1 to 120 matches the Rfam family "5.8S ribosomal RNA", at positions 35 to 154 of the family's 154-position model. The record is from RNAcentral.
GAUGAAGAACGUAGCGAAAUGCGAUAAGUAAUGUGAAUUGCAGAAUUCAGUGAAUCAUCGAAUCUUUGAACGCACAUUGCGCCCGCCAGUAUUCUGGCGGGCAUGCCUGUUCGAGCGUCAUUACAACCCUCAGGCCCCCGGGCCUGGCGUUGGGGAUCGGCGGAAGCCCCCUGCGGGCACAACGCCGUCCCCCAAAUACAGUGGCGGUCCCGCCGCAGCUUCCAUUGCGUAGUAGCUAACACCUCGCAACUGGAGAGCGGCGCGGCCACGCCGUAAAACACCCAACUUCUGAAUGUUGACCUCGAAUCAGGUAGGAAUACCCGCUGAACUUAAGCAUAUCAUAACGGAGGA